CUGUACCAUCUGCUUGGCCAAUUUUGGCACUAGCACAUUUUUGCUUGUGUCUCCGCUCUGAGCAAUCAUGUGCAGUGCCAAUAUGGGAAAAGCGGACCG
RNAcentral lists this microRNA precursor (99 nucleotides) under Dipodomys ordii (Ord's kangaroo rat). RNAcentral's name for it is "microRNA 96 (ENSDORG00000020410.2)". The stretch from base 15 to 90 matches the Rfam family "mir-96 microRNA precursor family". The record is from RNAcentral. Lineage: Eukaryota; Metazoa; Chordata; Mammalia; Rodentia; Heteromyidae.